UUUGGUAAAGGGUGGAAGGCUCGGCCUUAUGCCUGGUGUUUUGUUCCACUCUUGCCGCCCUAGUUUCCGUCAUACCGGUGUUAUGUUCCCGGAUUUUGCGUUCCUUACGCGGUCGGGUGAUUUAUGGGACCCCCCUGACAGUUCGCUUUGAAUAAAACUUGUCCAGCAAGGCCCAACAUUGCCUUUUACCAUUUGCCUCACCUAGCCCUUUUUUCCCUUGGGUUUCCAGAGCCCAAGGGUCAUCUUUAUUUACCCCCCCGGGCCAGUGCUCGUUGUGAGUGUUGGUCCAAACCGUCAGCCGCCGGUGGCCACCAGGGGCAACUCUGGGCUGGCCUACCGGAAGUUUGGACAAUCCGGUGUGCCCUGAGAACGAGAUAUGUGCAGCUCCUAUCAGGAUUUGGCGGCACAUUCGAGCGGCUUUGCUGGUCUUGUUUUACCAUUGUCGAAAUGUCUUGAUGUACCGGGAUACCGAGUCUGAUCGGAGUGUCUCGGGUGAAGGUCUAUUCCUUCGUUGAUCGCGAGAGCUUGUCAUGGGCUAAGUUGGGACACCCCUGCAGGGUAUAAACUUUCGAGAGCCGUGCCCGCGGUUAUGUGUCAGAUGGUAAUUUGUUAACGUCCGGUUGUAGAAAACCCGAAGUUGACCUUAAUUAAAAUACAUCAACCGUGUGUGUAACCGUGAUGGUCUCUUUCCGGCGGAGUCCGGGAAGUGAACACGGUGUUGGAGUUAUGCUUGACGUAGGUUGCUAUAGGAUCACUUCUUGAUCAUACUUUUAUCGACCGUGCUUUGCCUUCUCUUCUCGCUCUCAUUUGUGUAUGUUAGCCACCAUAUAUGCUAGUCGCUUGCUGCAGGUCCACCUCAUGCCUUUACCUUACCCAUACGCUUAAAUAGUCUUGAUCUCGCGGAUGUGAGAUUGCUGAGUCCUCGUGACUCACCAGAUACUUCCAAAACCAGUUUGCAGGUGCCUAUGUUACCGAGCAGGAGACGCAACCAAGCUCAAUGAGGAGCUCGAUGAAGAUCUUGCCCUUGGUAUUGUUUCGUUCUAGUUGAUCAGUAGUGGAGCCCAGUUGGGGUCGAUCGGGGACCUUUGUCGCAUUUGGGGUUCUUCUUUUAUUUUGGUUCCGUAGUCGGACCUUGAUUGUAUCUGGAUGAUGUAAUGCUUUAUUCAUGUAUUUGUGUGAAGUGGCGAUUAUAACCCAAUUAUGUAUCUUUUUCCCUUAUGUAUUACAUGGGUUGUGUGAAGAUUACCUCACUUGCGACAUUGCUUUCAAUGCGGUUAUGCCUCUAAGUCGUGCUUCGACACGUGGGAGAUAUAGCCGCAUCGAGGGCGUUACAAGUUGGUAAUCAGAGCCUUCCCCGACCUUAGGAGCCCCACUGCUUGAUUGUUUUUAGCGGCCGAGUUGUGUCUAGAAAAAUGUUUUGAGUCAUUUAGGAUUAUAUAUAUCGGAGAGUUAGGAAUUCUUUUUACUCCUCAGUCCCUUCGUCGCUCUGGUGAGGUAUCCUGACGUAGAGUUUUGACUCUUCUCUUCUCAAAUUUCACUAAAUUUUUUUUAGGAUCACGCGGGUAUCUUAGAAUCGUUCCGAUGGUUUUAUGAUGACAACAUUGUCUUGGUGCCUCCCGUCAGCAGGGGUUUUUUUUAGUGGAGGUGUCCCAGGGAGUUGAGCUCCGAGGUGUUGUCGUCAUAAUUUUAUCGUUGCAGUUCUGGAAUACCUGAGUUUAGUACGCCGACAUCGAAAAUCUCUUUUAUGCAGUUGUUGGUGAGAUAACCCCGCUAACCCAGUACUGAGGUGAGUACGGGAGUAUUGCCAUGACUCGUAUAACGGAUGCUUUUCGAAGGUUGAGGUACACGAUUUCCGAAGGUUUCUUGGUUAUGUGUUGACGGAUGGAUACAGCUUGGAUGUAGGUAUUGUUAGUUUGGGUGAGAUAUAUUGCUUCCCCUGUAUCCCCAACACCUGAUUGCAUAACCGGAAAGUUUCGGGAGUUUUAUAGGUGGGAGUUCAAGUAGCUCCUAGAAUAUCUUUUCGACAGAUGCAUGAUAUGAGAUUGGGUAAAUCUCUAUCAUAUGUAUUUGUUCCGGCUUAUUCUGCAAGCCAAAUCCUUUGUUUUGUUUUACUUGUGGUAUUCGAGUUGCUUCGAAGUCAAAUGUUGAAUCCAUACCUUUCCUAAACGGUGUUCUCAUAUUGCUAUGUGAAUACUAAUCCUUUUGAUCAUUGAUUUUGUCAUGUCAACUCCUUUCCAACCGGCGUGUUUCUCUUCAAGUGGAUCAGAUCACUUCAACAUCAGCAAGACCAAUUAUCAUUUCUUCUCAACGGUGUUUGUUUCAUCCGUCUCCAAGUUGCCUUUGUUCUUUUCCGCCCACCCACCCUUUUUCCUCAAGGACUAAGAUUUCUUUACCAAGUAUCCUUUUAUUUUUGUGAAGUUUCUCCAUUCUUUUCGGUCAAUGUUCUUACCCGGUGGUUCUCAAGAAGAUGUUCUACUAGUUCGUCAUUCCUCAUUCCUUUCUCUUCUCCGGUGGAUUCAAGUCAAGUUUUGUUGAUCAUACCUUUUUCCUCAUUUCAAUGUCUUCUCAUACCGGUGCACCUCAUUAUCAUUCUUCUUCUCGCUAUUUGUUAUUCCGAAGUUCUCAAGAUAUCUCGAAGAUUCGUGUUUCCACUCUGCAUUCGUUCAAGCUCUUUCGAGAUUGUUAUCUCAUUCAAGUCAUUUAAUUCAACCGGUGCAACAUCUUUUUUUAAAAUCUUUUCAAUGGUGUUCUUUUGAGUGGGCCCUAACCCACAGGUCUUUUCCCAGGAUCUUACCUGACUCUUCUAUUUUUCCAGAGCUAUCCUAAAUUCUUCUCCAAGUUUGACGUAAGAAUGAGUAUCAUCAGUCAAAUGCUUUUCUCCAAGAUCUUUCAAAUUCUUUUCAUAGUUGGCUCAACCUCUUCGCUUUUGAUUCUUCUGGUGUGCCUCAAUAAUUCUUGGUGGUGUUUCUCAUUGUCAUUCUCAUCAUUUGAAGACCGAAGAAGAGUUUCUCUUUAAUCUUGCUCUAUUCUCUUCAAGAUUCUUGGUGCUAGCUUGUUGCCAUCCUCUCAUAAUUGUUUUCGAUUGUGAGAAUCUUUUUCACCCAUCCGGAGCAUUUUAGUAGUCUUUUCAGUUUCAUUCUUUGAAGCCCAUCAUCUCAGUAUUAUUCAUUCAAGCUUUCAGCUCUCAUUCUCCUAUCUUGCCGAUGCAUCAAUCGAAUAUCCUCUAAUCAGUUCUUGAUCUCUUUGUUCUCAUGUAUCUAGUUUGUCUCAAGCACCUUCGUUCAUUUGCUAAUUCUUACCGAUGAUGCACCCCUACUUCUUUCAUUUUCAAUCCUUACGGUGGUUCUUUCAAGAUCUCUCUUCCUUGUUCAUCAUAUCAAUUCAUUUGUUGUUCCAAUCCUACCGGUGGUUCAUUGAAGACCUUCUCAAGUUUUGAUAUAUCUCUUUUAAUCCUUUCUACGGGAAUAAGUAGUAUGCCAAAUCCGUUGCUUGUCAUCAAUUUAAAUUGGUGAAGGAUACGCAUAACAUAAUUCUUGUUCUUGUUUCAUCCAAGUGAUUAAUCCUUUCCUUCAGAGUUUGUUCAGGUGGAAUAAAUUCUUGGCUUCUUGUUGUUCAUCUUUCUUCCGGAGUUCUAAGUUUUACGCUUUAUCUCGUCGCGAAGCUCCAUCUAAAUCAUUGCAAGGCUUCACCUUGUGUUUUCAACUUCUCUUUCUUUCUAUCACCCUUUUGUUUACCAGAGUUCUUCAUGGAGUUUCUUCAUGGUGGUUCGUCAAGGAUUCCUUUCAUUCUUCAAUUGUUCUUCAAGAUUUCUCUUGAAGUUAAGAUCCGUCAAGCCAUACUUCAAAAUAUACAUGGUGCUCAACACAUGUCUUGUUUUGAGGAGUUCAAGCAUUCUUCAUCUUGCAUUCCGAAGUGCGAUUCUUCCUACCUUAUCUUCUGAGGUGGUGUUAGGUCAUUCUUGAUAAUUUUCCCUUCGCGUUUCAUGAUUCACAAGUUUUCAAGAGUGACAUAUUUAAAUCCAUCUUUUUCUCUUUGUUCAAGAGAUCUUUUCAACCGUCAAUCUCUUCAUUGGAGUUAUCUUGGUAUAGAUUUCACCUAAAGCCUUCCCUAAGGAAUGUUGCUAUUUUGGUGCUUAUUAAUGACCCAAGUUAUCUCUUUUCCAUCUUGAUGGAACAAGCUUUCAUCUCUUCGUUAAUCUUAAGCAAGCAAUUGUUUCCGUUAGUGGCCGGUUGUCACCUCAUAAUGUUGAGAUGUUUCCAUAAGCCCACUACAAACUUAUUCUUUUCGUUGUUGGUCUUCCAACAACUCUAUUAUAACCUUCUUGCAAGGAUGCCUUCAAAAUUCAAUUGUGGUACAAGUUGUCAUUUUCUUCUCCAUUCUGUUAUCCCAAUGACCGAUCUUCUAUUCUUUCUCCCGGAGGCUUUUUGAUGUUGCUCUCUUCACCCAUCAUAUCGCUUUGUCAAGACCAUGUUCUUUUCGUGCUUAUCCAUUAAUCGAAGUGUUGUGUCAUCUCUUCAAGUUUUUCAUCUUAUAAAGUUUUGCCUCUCUUUUCAACCUUAGUGCUGUCUGAAAUCCUUCUUACCCAUUGUGCCAUUCUUUUAAUAGUUCCGGAGGCAGUGUGUUGUUCAUUUCAUCAAGUAUCCUCUCAUCUUGUCAAGUUUAUGUUCAAUUCCUUCCAUUUUCAGUCGGUGUGCUGCCCAAAUUAUAUCAUUCUUAUUCCUUCUCUAUCUUGUUUUAGCCGGAGUGGUUUCAAUACCUAUCUUAUCACUAAACCUCUUGGUUCUAGUCGUAUCCCAUGUUCCUCUUUUCUAACAGAGUGUUUUCAACUUUGUUCAUCUUCGUUGUUUUCUUUCUUUCAUUUUGUUCAACCUCUCAAGGUCUGUGGUUUCACUCGUUUGUAAAAAGAAGCAACUUAGCUUUACCUCUCCACUUUCUCUUCCGUUUUCCCUCCGGUGCCAUCCUAGAUCUCGGGACGAGAUCCUCUCGUAGUGGUGGAGUGUUGUAACGCCCCGAGACCGACGCUCCAGAAGACUUCCAGCUACUCCGAGUUUCGUCGUGUGAUUUGUUUUGUUUGUUGCAUCUCUUGCAUUGCAUCAUGUCAUCUUGCCAUCAUAUCAUUAAUUUUAAAAACUCAACUAAAUAAAUUGUAUGGAUCUUCGAUCUAUUUAAAUCGAGGGAAUUCACAUGGUGAUUUCUCUUUAUAACAUAUUAAAGCCUCUCAAUAUUAUUAGAGAGCUAUAAUAAAAAUAUUCCAUUCAUUUGGAAUUAACCAAAACACACUUGAAAAAUCCCCACUCCCUUUCUACUUCAAGUUUGGUCCCCAAACCUUGUCAACAUUUCUUUUCCCAUUUAUCGAGGCUCCUCCUAAAUUCUCAACAUUUUUGGACUCUUCUAAAUCCUAGUCCUUGUUCAAACCUUUUGAAUUAAAUUCAAAUGCCUUUGAAUUUAGUUCUUGCAUUCUUGCCCACUCCAUUUUCCUUGGAACAAGCAUAUUUUUACGAGUCCGUAAAAAUUUAUCCCCAUGCCCAGAUUCCACCCCUAACUUCUCUUUCUCUUCUUCCUCUUUUUCUGUUUUGUUUUAAUUAGUAAAGGAAAUAGGGGAGAGGGAGAAGAGAGUCCAGCCCAGCCUGGGCCUCCCAGCCUCCCGCGCCGGCCCAAGGCCAAAGCCCAGCCGACCUAACCCUAGCCCUAACCCCCCUGCCCGAUCCCCUCAGCCAUCGCUCCCUCGUUUCCCUCACAGCGCCGCAACCCCUCCUAUCGAUCCCAUCUCCCUCCUCUGCGCUCGCAUCUCUCGCCCUCGAUCCCCAUCUCCCCCCUCGAUCCCCCUCUCUCUCUCGUGCCCGAUCCCAUCGCCUCUCCACUUCCUGCAUCGCCAUGGCCGCCGGCCUUCGCCCCUGCCGGCCCCGUCGCCUCUGUGCGCGAGCGCCGAGCGCCCACCUCCUCCCUCGCGCGGCUCCUUCCCUGCCUCCUCCGCAAUCCACUCAUCGUCGUCGCCCUCAUCUUCCACCAUCGUUGCCCCUGCAGCCUCCCCUCCUCCACGUCGUCGCCUCCCCAUGGCGCCGCGACCGACCUCCCGCGUCCGCCAUCGGCUCCUCUGCUUCGCCCGUCCCUUGCUCCGCUUCCAUCGCCGGCGACCACGACCAGCCACCUCCCUCCUUGGAGCUCCCAUGGCCGCCACACCCUGUUCCACCUCGCCUCCACCUGGAUCCGCUCCACCUCUCCCAUGCGUCUCCUCCAUCAGCAGCCGGCAACGUCCGAGGGAAGCCGAGCACCUCCAUCCCCAUGGUGCUGCGACCCCAUCUCCUGCGCGAGAUCCGCAUCGCCGCAAUUCUGCUCCAUGCGCCCAUCUCUGUUGCAUCGCCGUGGCCCUGUUCGCGUGAAGCCCCGGCCUCCUGUACCCGUGCUGCACUUUGAUGCCCGCUAUCAUCAUGCACCUUCACUUGCUGUUGCUGUUGGCGUCAAGACCGUGGGUGCCAAGUUCGUCUUCCGCCAUCUCUGGGAUUCGCCAAGUACCAUGACGCCCCCCCCCCCGAAGUGUUCGGGUUCGACAAGUCCGAUGUCGUGCUUGUACAACUACGCUGCCAAGUACCUCUACCGGUGACUCGAACAACUACCGCAAACGUGUACAACUACCGUCGCCAANNNNNNNNNNNNNNNNNNNNNNNNNNNNNNNNNNNNNNNNNNNNNNNNNNNNNNNNNNNNNNNNNNNNNNNNNNNNNNNNNNNNNNNNNNNNNNNNNNNNNNNNNNNNNNNNNNNNNNNNNNNNNNNNNNNNNNNNNNNNNNNNNNNNNNNNNNNNNNNNNNNNNNNNNNNNNNNNNNNNNNNNNNNNNNNNNNNNNNNNNNNNNNNNNNNNNNNNNNNNNNNNNCGAACAACUACCGCAAACUUGUACAACUACCGUUGCAAGAACCGAGACCGGCAAGUCCGAAGACCCCAAGUACCACGACUACCCUCGAGGACGUUUUCUCCGUCAAGUUCGACUACAACUCGUGUACGACUACCGUCGCCGUGAACAACUACUUCCACUACAUCGCGAGAACGCCUACUUCCCUCUACGAAACGCGAACCGUCCCAUUUGAACCCUUCGAAGGUAUAACCCGAGACGACCGUGAUGAGAUGCCCUUGCAUGUAUGAGAUGUACCUUAUGUUUGCACCAUGUCCGAGUUGCCUUUGCGCGUUCCUCGUUUGCCAUGCCACUAACCCGUGGGAACCCGGUAGUCAGGAGCACCCCACCAUCUCUAGCAUGUUGCGCACAUCCACACGCUCCCUUUUGCACCGGUAUCUCGGUGAGCUAUCGGAACCGAUAUGUUGCCGUGGCAUCAUUUUCGGAUAUGUUGCCGUGGCACCAUUUCCGUUUCGCCGCCGUGGGACCCUUUUCGUUUCGCCGCCGUGGCACCCUUUUUUGUUCUGCCACGGUGACAAAUGCUUCAUAACAUGCUCUUGUCAACAUUUUCAUAAAAAUUGCAUAAAACUUGCAUAUGUCAUCCGCAUCAUGAUAAUAACAAUUAAAAUGUUUAAACUUGUUGUUGCAUUAAAUUGCUAAAUGCAUGUGGGGAUUUACCGGAAUUGUUGUUUGUUGUUCCGGCCUCACUUAUACUUGCCUAGAUAGGUAGUUUUCAUAUGCCUCACCUCUUGCCAUGCUUAACAACAUUUAAUAUUGUUGGGUACAUAACCGAGAGAGAACUAAAUAAUUGAUGUGGUGUUCCAUCAAUAUGCAACUCGUUGCAUAUUGAGCUCCACUUAACUUGUAGUGUUGUUUGUGCAUAUUGCCAUGCCAUGCCUCUUUAAACCGGACAUGCAUCAUACUUGUUUGUGCAUCAUGACAUGUUUAUGCUUGUGUGUUUACCAUAUUGUUUGCUUCUUUCCGGUUUGCUUCUCUCGUUAGCUUCGGUUUCAUUCCGGAGUUGUGAGGUUUCGCUCGACUACGCCCGUUCGUCUUCUUCAUGGAAUCGUUCUUCUUCCUUGCGGGAUUUCAGGCAAGAUGAUCAUACCCUCGAAAUCACUACUAUCUUUGCUAUGCUAGUUUGCUCUCUCUUUUGCUAUGACAAUUCUACGAUGCCUACCAUUUGCUUGUCAGCCUCCCAAAUUGCCAUGUCAAACCUCUAACCUUUGACACUAUUCCUAGCAAACCGUUGUUUGGCUAUGUUACCGCUUUGCUCAGCCCCUCUUAUAGCGUUGUUAGUUGCAGGUGAAGAUGAAGUUUGUUCCUUGUUGGAACAUGGAGAUGCUGUUCCUUGUUGGAACAUGUUUACUUGUUGGGAUAUCACAAUAUCUCUUAUAUUUUUAAUGCAUCUAUAUAUUUGGUAAAGGGUGGAAGGCUCGGCCUUAUGCCUGGUGUUUUGUUCCACUCUUGCCGCCCUAGUUUCCGUCAUACCGGUGUUAUGUUCCCGGAUUUUGCGUUCCUUACGCGGUCGGGUGAUUUAUGGGACCCCCCUGACAGUUCGCUUUGAAUAAAACUUGUCCAGCAAGGCCCAACAUUGCCUUUUACCAUUUGCCUCACCUAGCCCUUUUUCCCUUGGGUUUCCGGAGCCCAAGGGUCAUCUUUAUUUACCCCCCCGGGCCAGUGCUCGUUGGGAGUGUUGGUCCAAACCGUCAGCCGCCGGUGGCCACCAGGGGCAACUCUGGGAUGGCCUACCAGAAGUUUGGACAAUCCGGUGUGCCCUGAGAACGAGAUAUGUGCAGCUCCUAUCAGGAUUUGUCGGCACAUUCGGGCGGCUUUGCUGGUCUUGUUUUACCAUUGUCGAAAUGUCUUGAUGUACCGGGAUACCGAGUCUGAUCGGAGUGUCUCGGGUGAAGGUCUAUUCCUUCGUUGAUCGCGAGAGCUUGUCAUGGGCUAAGUUGGGACACCCCUGCAGGGUAUAAACUUUCGAGAGCCGUGCCCGCGGUUAUGUGGCAGAUGGGAAUUUGUUAAUGUCCGGUUGUAGAAAACCCGAAGUUGACCUUAAUUAAAAUACAUCAACCGUGUGUGUAACCGUGAUGGUCUCUUUCCGGCGGAGUCCGGGAAGUGAACACGGUGUUGGAGUUAUGCUUGACGUAGGUUGCUAUAGGAUCACUUCUUGAUCAUACUUUUAUCGACCGUGCUUUGCCUUCUCUUCUCGCUCUCAUUUGCGUAUGUUAGCCACCAUAUAUGCUAGUCGCUUGCUGCAGCUCCACCUCAUGCCUUUACCUUACCCAUAAGCUUAAAUAGUCUUGAUCUCGCGGAUGUGAGAUUGCUGAGUCCUCGUGACUCACCAGAUACUUCCAAAACCAGUUUGCAGGUGCCUAUGUUACCGAGCAGGAGACGCAACCAAGCUCAAUGAGGAGCUCGAUGAAGAUCUUGCCCUUGGUAUUGUUUCGUUCUAGUUGAUCAGUUGUGGAGCCCAGUUGGGGUUGAUCGGGGACCUUUGUCGCAUUUGGGGUUCUUCUUUUAUUUUGGUUCCGUAGUCGGACCUUGAUUGUAUCUGGAUGAUGUAAUGCUUUAUUCAUGUAUUUGUGUGAAGUGGCGAUUGUAAGCCAACUAUGUAUCUUUUUCCCUUAUGUAUUACAUGGGUUGUGUGAAGAUUACCUCACUUGCGACAUCGCUUUCAAUGCGGUUAUGCCUCUAAGUCGUGCUUCGACACGUGGGAGAUAUAGCCGCAUCGAGGGCGUUACAC
This 9631-nucleotide long non-coding RNA is filed under the name Triticum aestivum (bread wheat). RNAcentral's name for it is "long non-coding RNA (TAES_LNC011721)". Lineage: Eukaryota; Viridiplantae; Streptophyta; Magnoliopsida; Poales; Poaceae. The record is from RNAcentral.